Molecule: long non-coding RNA, 3442 nt
Filed under: Lingula anatina
Lineage: Eukaryota; Metazoa; Brachiopoda; Lingulata; Lingulida; Lingulidae
Description: uncharacterized LOC106177648
Source: RNAcentral
UUUUUUUUUUUUUUCAAAUUGAUGGAUAUUUUUCUGAGUGCCCUUCUUCAAUUGUCAAAGCUUAUGAUGGACUGUAUACAGCCAUGUGGACUAUGUGGAUAUUUAUGAAUUAAGUUUAGUGAAGAAAUUCACUCUCUCACUCUGUUUCUCACUUCUUUCUCUCCCUCUUUCGUCAGAGAAUAUUUGUUUUGUUUAAGAUAUCAAUAGAUCAAGCCUUAUAUAAACAUUUAUCUUUUAAAUAUGCCAAAUUAUAAUUGCCAUAUCAUGGAUAAUAAGGUGGCAUAAAUUCUAGGACAUUAUUACUAACAUUUUUGAGCUUAUAACAUUUACACUGCUUGUAUGUUGAUAUCAUUCGAAUAUAUAUUUCAUAAUAAACUUGAUUGUUCACCACCAUUUAUUUCAGCCCAAGACAUACUCCACAAACAAACUCUCCAUUUCUUUCACAAAACGUUCGGGAAAACUCACCAUUUCAACCACCAACAUACUGGAGGCCCAGUAACCAUAGCAACUGUUGCUAGUUCGGCGUAUUAUUGAUUGGGUACGCGCCUUAUCAGGAUCAGACACCAGUUAUUUCAUAGACCAGGAUGUAGAGAACAUUCCGCUGAACAAUCCACAGGGGCCAGUGCAGCCAGUGAAGUUUACACCAAGACCUGGAAGUCUGAAGAACAGCGGUGAAUCCAUUUAGUCAUUAUUUAAUGUACACCACUGAAUUUUCACCUAGCCAGUAAGUUCCAUGCAAGCCUGAAGAGCACCUGGUUUGCUGAUAGAUGUAGUUUUUAUAUACCUCCCACGAGAAGACAUAAAUUGUUAGACAUCAAGUUUUGACUGAGCUGUUAUGAAGUAAUACAAAGCCCUUAUAGUAGCCAUUAAUAUUUAGACACUGCAGACAUAGACCUUAGCAAAAGUCACUGCACUGCAUGAGCAUUGGUCUCCUCUUUGGUCAUCCAAAAGUGGCUGGUUCAUAGCAUGAGAAAUUGAAUUUUGACUUAGAAGAGUUGCUCAAUAAAUGCGUCACGUUAGCAGCAAAACUAGUUAAACAUGGAGACAGUCAGGACAAUUUGCUCAGAGUGAGAAAGAGACAGAUAUACUGUUGAACUCUGUUGUAUUCUAGUCACUUUGAAGACUCCUGUGUGGCGUCAGUGACACUGGAAUUUUAUGGGAUGAUAAUACAUUUAGUUGAAUAGGUCCAAACAGAGUUAUUAGUGAGUGUUACAUAUCCAUUGAACCAAAUAUUUAAGGUACUAGUUAAGGGAUCAGCAAAGUACUAGUAGACCAAUGCAAGUAAUAUACUUGGCCAAACUGUUUUUGUUGUACGAAUUUGAAAAAUGAUGAUUUAUGAAUCUACACUGCAGAUAGCCAAGUAGUUAUAUGUGUGAAGCAAAACACACCAAGUAGAUAUAAAGUUAAAAUAAAUAAUUCUGACAUGUGAGCAUUGCCAGUCAAAAUGCAAGUUUUGAUUUUUUUUUUUCAGUUAUAUUUUUUAAAGCCACAACAGAUGAAUUUUAAUAUCCAGUCCUCUAUGAACUUUUCAGUCAUGAUAUGCUUAACAUUGUCAAGGUUAAGGUUACAUAAUGAUAUCUGUAAAAAUAUUUUAUAAACUUUAGUAUCAUUGGUGUAAUAAUACCCAAAGAAAUAACAGGUACAGUUUGACUGCGAGAUUUGUAAUGAAUAUAGUUUUAAUAGAAGGUUAAUUUAUUUAGAAAUGAACAACUAGUUUUUAGAUAGCUGUGUAUAUUGAGCAAAUGACUUAUAAAACUUACACAUUCCAUGAUCCUUAGCAACACCAUGUUCUUCAUCUUAUGCAACAAUUAUGUCUGGGACAUAUAAAGACAAACAUUGUGAGACGAGUAUUUUCAUAUUACCACCUAGUUAUUUUCAUGAGUAAAUGUAGUUUUUUAUAACUGUUCCAUUUAAAUCUAUUGCUUUUCUUGCAGCUGGAUGUCAUUUUUUUCUUGAAUUAUUGUCACAAAUGUGGUUGCUCUUCCUAAGAAAGUUGAAUUGUUCUGGUUCAGGACCAAGAUGAUGACUUCCAGUAAUUUUUUUUUCUUAUUGGCAAAAAUCAGAAUACUUUCCCAAAGUGUGCUGCUUUCUAAUGAGAAUCCUUCCCUUCAUACACUGCUGACUUAAUGCUGCUGAUUUUAUUGCUUUAUUCAGUUCUGAGCAAUCAUCAGUACCAAAUGCUACAAUUGUUCAUUUAUCUAUGCUGCCAAUUGUUUUAAGGUAUUAUUAAUUGUAUUGUUGAUAACAUGGUACAUUGUGUAUUUGCAUUUUGUACACUGGAUUAACAGCACUGGACAGAUAUGGCUUUUGAUUACUAGGAUUUGGAGUCAUGUUCCAAGUCAUUAUUUGGAGUCACUUUCCAAGUCAUUGCUCUAUUAGGAACACUGAACAUCAACCUCUUAAAGUGUGACAUAAACACAGAGUGCUAGGUUUUUGGCCCUUUCUGAAUGAUUUAAGUUAGAAUAUAUGAUGACAGUUUAGAAUAGAGAAUCAUUUAACAAUUGGAGGAACCCAGCUCAGUUGCUCUUCGUAAUUUUAAUCCAGAUAAAUGGUUUUUUGUGCAGUUAACAAGUUGAUUUCAUGAUUUACAAGGUUUAAUGUUAAACAUUGCAUCCAUGUUAAACAUGGAAUUGUACAUGUUUACCUAUUGUAAAUAUGAUAAUUCUGCUCUAUUUUAAUAGAUUAAAAUUAAAAUCUAGAGAUUAAAAUCUCUCCUACUAAUUUGUGCACUUCUUGUCUUACAAGUGUGAUUGUUACGCUAAGAGGAAGCCAGACCAUAUUUUUCAUCAGCGAAAAUUUUAAAGUUUGAAUGUUUUUGUGAUAUAGCCUGACCAACAAAUCCAAUGCAAAGCAGAAUUGUGAGUUUUUUUGAUAAAAUUUUAUGGAACAUGUGCCACUGUUAUGAAAGUGACUGUAUUGGUAAAGCCAAUUGUUCUUUUUGUAAACAAUAUUUCAAACAUUUUUUUCAGCAUAAGUUACGUGAAUUACUUGGAUACUUAUUUUGGAGAAGAUUAUUGUAUUAGAACUUUAAAAAAAUUGGUAGAACUUAGUAAAAUUGUUAGUCUUUUCUGUUGAGCAUUAUUUCUAACUAAAUACAGCAUUCAGGGAAGACAGUUGUAUUUAAUGUCAAUUAAUUAUUUAGUUUUCAGUUCUGUUUUAAUUAGUUGUCAGUUCAAGAAUAUACAUUUGUUAUGCAAAUGCUGGAUAGAUCCAAAUUCUUUGUUUAAGAUUAACAUUAUAUCUAAAUAAUUUUGUUUGUAUACUAAAACAAAGCUUUGGUAGAGAUAGAAGCAUAGUAGAAAUUUCUUACAGUAAACUAGACAAAAUUAUUUGAUAAAGUAUUUAGGAAAAUGAUCUGUAUGUGUGAGUGCACCAUGACACUUGAUUUUAUUUAUUUCUGGUAUUUAGACAUUGUAAACAUCUUUGAGCACAGUGAUAUCAA